UAUGUGAUCGUCUCUCGCAUAUCAAUAAGCGGAGGAAAAGAAACUAACAAGGAUUCCCCUAGUAACGGCGAGUGAAGCGGGAAGAGCUCAAAUUUGAAAUCUUAAAGGGUUUCCCUUUACGAAUUGUAGUUUAAAGAAGUGUUUUCUGUUGAGGUUUUGGUAAAAGUUCUUUGGAAUAGGACAUCAUAGAGGGUGAGAAUCCCGUAUUUGACCUUUACUUUCAACUUUGUGAUACACUUUCAAAGAGUCGGAUUGUUUGGGAAUGCAGUCCAAAAUGGGUGGUAAAUUUCAUCUAAAGCUAAAUAUUGGCGAGAGACCGAUAGCGAACAAGUACCGUGAGGGAAAGAUGAAAAGAACUUUGAAAAGAGAGUUAAACAGUACGUGAAAUUGUCAAAGGGAAGCGUUUGACUCCAGUGUUGUUUUUCUGAAAAUCAAUUAAAGAACUGUUUAUGCUAAGUUGUUUAGACUUUAUCAGCUAAUCUGUUUAGUUUUGAGCUUUUCUUUAAUGCACUUUUCAGUUAACAAGUCAACAUCAAUUUCUUUUGCUGUAAUAAAGCUUGAGGAAGGUGGCUUGAGAUUCGUCUUAAGUGUUUAUAGCCUCUUGCCUAUGCAGUCGGAGAGAUUGAGGUCUGCAGCGUAGAUCCUUCGGGGCUAAAUGCAUUUGUGCUAAGUUAUAACAUUUUAUAGACAACUUGUUGACUAUGAUUUGUCUUGUAGCUUACUCGCUUAUGUUAUUUUACCUACGCUUAGGAUGUUGAAGUCAUCGUAUCGCGC
RNAcentral lists this ribosomal RNA (774 nucleotides) under uncultured Neocallimastigales. RNAcentral's name for it is "partial large subunit ribosomal RNA". It matches the Rfam family "Eukaryotic large subunit ribosomal RNA", at positions 24 to 645 of the family's 3401-position model. The record is from RNAcentral. Lineage: Eukaryota; Fungi; Neocallimastigomycota; Neocallimastigomycetes; Neocallimastigales.